This 840-nucleotide long non-coding RNA is filed under the name Heterocephalus glaber (naked mole-rat). RNAcentral's name for it is "lncRNA (ENSHGLG00000034662.1)". Lineage: Eukaryota; Metazoa; Chordata; Mammalia; Rodentia; Bathyergidae. The record is from RNAcentral.
CGCGACUCUCGCGGGCCCUCGCGGUGGGGCCCAGCCCUCAGCGCCCAGGCCGCCGGGAAGCGAGGGAGGGAGGCUCCGCAGGGCGUGUGGAAAGUGGCUUUCUGCGUGGACCUGGAACCCCGCUCUUCUAGGCGGGGACCCUCGGGGUGUCCAGCGAGGCCGGCAGCCCGCGUCCCCUCUCCACCCGAGCCGCGGUCGGAAAGGCGUGAAACAGCACACUUCCGGCGGGCCCACGCUGCGUAAGGAAGUCCGCGAGCCCGGUCCUUUGCCGAGUCCGGGCUCCUGGAGAGGUCUGAUUGGGCCCGGCGGCGCACACCUGUAAUCCAGCAGCCGGGGCGGCUGAGGGCAGGGGGAUCGCCAAGGGUUCAAGACCAGCCUGAGCUACAUAGUGAGGUCCUGUCUCAGAACACCAAACAAACGAACAAAGAACCAAAGUUCAAGUCCAGCUUGGACAGCUUACUACUUACACAGAUAUGCUGGGCCCUCAUUCUACAGUCCUCCUCCUUGACACUUGUCAUCAGCAGGUGUCCCGAGGCCUGGCCAGCUUCCCCCUGCCCCACACUUGUGAUGAGUAAACACUGGACAUCCUGGGAGUCCUUUCUCUUUGCUGCCCGGAGCAGCUUGGAUCAGCCUGAGACUCAGUGUCUCUCAAGUCUCUGUCUGUGUGUUUAUUCUAAUUCCCACUUAGCUAUCUUGAGGUCAUUGGACUGGGUUGCAGGAGGCCAGUAGCACUGCAGGGCUAACCCGAUACACUUGGAUUAUUCCGGAUGAUCCACUGUCAAGAUGCCUACAUCUGCAAAGAACCCUUCGCUAAAUAAAUAAAGUCUCAUACAUUCUGGA